This is a long non-coding RNA of Mastomys coucha (southern multimammate mouse), 425 nucleotides long. RefSeq lists it as uncharacterized. The transcript has 3 exons. The record is from RefSeq and is a predicted model, not a curated record. Lineage: Eukaryota; Metazoa; Chordata; Mammalia; Rodentia; Muridae.
ACUGCAAUUAGCAGGACGUAGACGCUCUGGUGGCGGGGUGCCGCUGCGCGCACGGUCAGACGGUAGAGCCCGGCACGCGUGAGCGCUCUGCGGGUGUAGACCACACCUUGUCCAGCGCGCAGCUGACGGAGAGCGAAGGGGCUGCGUGGGUCUGGCUCCAGCACGUUACCCGGAAGCCAGGCCUACAGGAAGGGAGGCAGUUAUAGGAUCCGAGCAGGUUCACACAGCGCUGCCCCUGCUGGCAGAGAAAAUGACACCUCUGUAGGCAUGCGCUUCCUUUGGAAUCUGGGCCCUGAGGAGCCGACUGCACAUUGGGCCAGAAUCCCGCUGCACUUCCCCGGGGCUGCUCACCUCUACAAUUCCUGUGGUCCCAAGCCAGGGAGAAGCCAGUGGGGCAGGAGCAGGAGAAGUGGCCAGGAGCAUUA